GCCCCCACCGGCCUCGGCUCGGCCUGGCUGCGGAACGAGAUGCUUCAGCACAAUCAGUUCUGAGUGGCACCUGUGGGGAAGUGAACACUUAGGAAGAUGGAACCAGAAUGCAAAGUGACCUGGAGUUCUUAAGCAAGAGGAACUGAACGCAGUGAAUAUUUGGCACUAAGAAUAAAGAUGGGCGAGUAUCAACGGAUGGACAAAGUGAGGCACUGGGUGAUGAAAUGACUGUCUGAACAUGACACAGCAUAGCCAACAAUAGAAAGCAGGAGGUAUGACUCCUAUUUCAAUGUCUUGUUCACUGGGCAGCCUGGAAGCUCUCAAGAAUGCAUUCAAAGGAGGAACAGCCAAAUACCCAAAUCUUGUAACAUUAAAUUGAGUUUUGUUUCA
This is a long non-coding RNA of Alligator sinensis (Chinese alligator), 390 nucleotides long. RefSeq lists it as uncharacterized. The record is from RefSeq and is a predicted model, not a curated record. NCBI's taxonomy places the organism in Eukaryota, Metazoa, Chordata, Crocodylia, Alligatoridae. The transcript has 3 exons.